UUUUUUUUCCCCUCAAAGUCCACAGUAAGUCUUGAACUAAUAAUAACAAAAUUGAUGUUAUCUUGAAUUAAGCUUAAGUAGUUAAAAGAUGAAGGGGUGAACAAGUCACCAUCAUCUAAGUGAGGGAACAGAUCCAGGGCUGUUAGGCAGAUAAUGGCUUGUGCCUGCAGUAAUACUCCAGGAAGGGUGAUGGGGUACUCAUGGUGAGCCCCCAGAGUGUGGUUCCUCAUUCCCUACAAAUUCACACACCAGAGCACCACACCUUUGAACUGCAAAUAGGAUAUCACUACCAAAGAGUUGAUGGCUGUAUGUGAAUAGCGCUGAACCUCCCCAAGUGCCGCAGGCUGCCUAUGCCUAGGUGAAAGUCAUGAAACUAAUGCCUAGCUUUUGAGCUCCAGCUCUUCAUCAGUGUUGGGCUUGCAUGUAGGAAAACAGUCGCACAGCCCACAUGUAAUGAAAAAGUAAUUGGUAUUUUUGUCCUGAAAAAGUAUAUGUUCUGAUUGUAGCUGUUCACGUGAAAAAAUGGUGAAGGAAAGAGCUGUUCCCAGAGUUUGCCGUUUUCAUCUCAAAGCUGCCUAGGUGUUUUCUGUGCUCCACAAUUCCUGCUGGGUGGGAGAGAACAGAUUAAAAUGAUUAGACACAGAGCUAUUUUGAAAGCAGAAGCGAGUCUGCCUUUCAGCCCUGCAGUGACCAAUCAUUCGGUGUGCUCUUCCUUUGCUAUAGGCUCCUGUAGUUACUUUUGAACCUUGCUUGCCCUGUGGGUGACAAGGCAUCUUCUUUUUGGACAUUCUUGGGAUCUUUAAAUCAGGCUCAUGUAAGGAAGAGUUUUGCCUGGAUGCAGAAAUCUGUGGUUCUUGUGACAUUUUUAGGCACAUCAACUGGUUCACACAGCCCUUGCGAACAGACCGGAGGCUGCAGCACAUCCUUCAGUGCCUGGGCACUUGCACCAUGGUAGGGGCUUAGCAGUGGAAAUUUUUAUCUCUCCCAGCAGGAAAACAAAGCUUUUCUCUUGACUGAGCUCUCAUGCGGUGCUGACAGCACUGGCUGGGGUGCUGCCAAAGAACAAAGGGCAAUAUUGUCUUUAAAAAGCAGAAAGCGCAUUAAAAGUUUCUAAGCUCUGUUUGUGAAAAUCUGGAGUCACUUCAUUAGGAGCUCAGAAUUGGUCUGACUCCUUCCAGCCUCCCCACUUCACCCUCGUCUCUGUGCGAUAUUGCAGCUGCUCUGAUGAAAAACAGUUAUUUAAAAAUCUGCUUGUAGCUAUGGCAACCUUCAUGCACUGCGUUCGACCAAAACUCUGAAACAGCAGCAGAAGUUUCUUAACAGGAGACAGGAGGAACUGUGUGCAGAAGAGAGAGCCCUGGUUUGCGGUGGGAAGCUGGUGUGAGGAAUUAAAGCUCCUGUUGUGACAGAGAUGACAACAAAAGCAGAAAGCUUCCUCGUGCGGAAGGAAAGCCCGUCAACUGAGACAUUCAGGGCCGAUACACCGGUAUUGAACAGUGACUGUCACACUCAUUUCCAAAGUGCCGUUAUGGCAGCAUAGGUCAGGCUUUUGAAGCUUCCUUGCCAAAGGCUGCCUGGCAAGGUUUCUUCCCACCACUGCAGCUGACUGGCAGGAUUUGUUUCCACCUACGCUUUAGCAUAACGGGCACAUAAAGUACAGCGAAGAGUAAACAAAUCCUCUUCAGUGCCCUCCCUUCCCAUUCCAAAAUCCUGGGGAUUUUGUGUGCCCACUGCACGUAACAAGGAAAAUCAACUCGAGGUUCCCUGUGGCAGGGGCCAUCAGAGCCAUACUCUCUGUCAGGCUCUGGGAGCUGCCUGCAUUACAGCAUACUUUCCCCACCAUUUAACAUCAUCACUGCAACCUCCCACUGCCGUCACCCAUCUCCAAAGGGCUGUUAUUGCCCAGUCUUCAGAUGCUGGUAUAAGCAAAUAUCUCAAGCUGAGAAGUCUGGUAUUGGUACAUUACAGGAAAAUCUCUCAACCUUAAAAUUGCUUAUGGUAAAAAGCCCCAGUGUACAGAUAUCACUGUCUAACACACCAAACCACCUCAGGAGUUUAGGAAUAAACGUGGCAUACACUGAUGUGAAUGUUUAUGGGGUGAGGGAAGACUGGCACAAAAUACAAAGAAGCUGUGUUUGAAGGAAAUGCAUCUUAACAUAAAGGUAUUCUAAUCUUUACCCUUCAGUAUUUAAGUCAGUGCAGCCAUUAUUAAAGCAAUUAAAAUGCAAUUACUUUUUCAUCUUU
Long non-coding RNA from Pezoporus occidentalis (night parrot), 2244 nucleotides. RefSeq lists it as uncharacterized. The transcript is spliced from 3 exons. The record is from RefSeq and is a predicted model, not a curated record. Lineage: Eukaryota; Metazoa; Chordata; Aves; Psittaciformes; Psittacidae.